GAUGAACGCUGGCGGCGUGCCUAAUACAUGCAAGUCGAGCGAACGGACGCUAAUCUUGCUUUUCUGUUUUUAUCGGCUUACGUGUGUUUAACUCGUGUAUAACCUACCUAUAUUUCUUGUAUAACUUCGGGAAUCCGUAUCUUAUACCGUAUAAUAUUUUGAUCCUCUUUUUUCUAUAGUUAAUUUCGGUCUUUCUGUCUCUUUUAGAUGGUUCCGCGCUUCAUUAGCUAGUUGGUAAGGUAACGUCUUACCAAGGCAACGAUGCAUAUCCGAACUGAGAGGGUGAUCGGCCACACUGGAAGUGAGACACGGUAAAGACAACUACGGGAGGCAGCAGAAGGGAAUGUUACGCAAUGGGCGAAAGCAUGACGGAGCAACGACGAGUGAGAGAUGAAGGACUACGGAUCGUAAAAAUCUGUUAUUAGGGAAGAAAAAAUGUGUAAGAAAAAGAGAACAGAGUGACGGUAACAAAUAAGAAAGCAACGGCUAACUACGUG
RNAcentral lists this ribosomal RNA (497 nucleotides) under uncultured bacterium. RNAcentral's name for it is "partial 16S ribosomal RNA". It matches the Rfam family "Bacterial small subunit ribosomal RNA", at positions 28 to 507 of the family's 1533-position model. The record is from RNAcentral.